RNAcentral lists this ribosomal RNA (705 nucleotides) under Triticum aestivum (bread wheat). RNAcentral's name for it is "partial small subunit ribosomal RNA". The record is from RNAcentral. Lineage: Eukaryota; Viridiplantae; Streptophyta; Magnoliopsida; Poales; Poaceae.
GCGUUCCGGACCCAUCACGGCCACUUCGAGUUCUUGGUGAUGCCCUUUGGCCUCUCCAACGCCCCGACGACAUUUCAGGCCUUGAUGAACGAUGUCCUCCGGCCCUACUUACGUCGGUUUGUGCUCGUUUUCUUUGAUGACAUUCUUAUCUACAGUGCCUCUUGGGCAGAGCACCUCCAGCAUGUGGCCAUCGUCUUCAACGAGCUUCGGGCGCAUCAUCUUCAUCUUAAGCGCUCGAAGUGCUCGUUUGGGACACCUUCGGUCGCUUACCUCGACCACGUCAUCUCGGCCGAGGAUGUGGCCAUGGACGCCGACAAGGUGGCGGCCGUCGCCGCCUGGCCCAUUCUGCAGUCUCCGCGGGCUCUUCGCGGGUUCCUUGGUCUUGCCGGGUACUAUCGGAAGUUCAUCCGGGAGUUUGGCCUUAUCGCGGCCCCGCUCACGCGUCUCCUCCGUCGCGACGCCUUCUCUUGGGAUGCGGAGGCCACUUCAGCAUUCGAGGCCCUCAACGGGGCCCUCACGACGGGACCCGUACUGCAGAUGCCGGACUUCGACCUCCCCUUCACCGUCGACUGCGACGCUUCCGGUGCGGGGUUUGGUGUGGUCCUGCACCAGGGCGAUGGACCCCUCGCCUUCUUCAGCCGCCCCUUUGCUGCUCGCCAUCUUAAAUUGGCGGUGUAUGAGCGUGAGCUCAUUGGGUUGGUGUAA